UACAGGGGGUGCAAACGUUGCUCGGAAUCAUUGGGCGUAAAGCGCACGUAGGCGGUUCGUUAUGUCGGAUGUGAAAGCCCUUGGCUUAACCGAGGAAGUGCAUCCGAAACUGGCGAGCUAGAGUACGAAAGAGGAUCGCGGAAUUCCCGGUGUAGAGGUGAAAUGCGCAGAUAUCGGGAGGAACACCAAUUGCGAAGGCAGCUCGCUGGGACGUCACUGACGCUGAGACGGCGAAAG
This 237-nucleotide ribosomal RNA is filed under the name uncultured bacterium. Its description in RNAcentral is "partial 16S ribosomal RNA". It matches the Rfam family "Bacterial small subunit ribosomal RNA", at positions 524 to 759 of the family's 1533-position model. The record is from RNAcentral.